UGGGGAAUAUUGGACAAUGGGGGGAACCCUGAUCCAGCCAUGCCGCGUGUGUGAAGAAGGCCUUAUGGUUGUAAAGCACUUUAAGCGAGGAGGAGGCUACUUUGGUUAAUACCCAGAGAUAGUGGACGUUACUCGCAGAAUAAGCACCGGCUAACUCUGUGCCAGCAGCCGCGGUAAUACAGAGGGUGCGAGCGUUAAUCGGAUUUACUGGGCGUAAAGCGUACGUAGGCGGCUUUUUAAGUCGGAUGUGAAAUCCCUGAGCUUAACUUAGGAAUUGCAUUCGAUACUGGGAAGCUAGAGUAUGGGAGAGGAUGGUAGAAUUCCAGGUGUAGCGGUGAAAUGCGUAGAGAUCUGGAGGAAUACCGAUGGCGAAGGCAGCCAUCUGGCCUAAUACUGACGCUGAGGUACGAAAGCAUGGGGAGCAAACAGG
RNAcentral lists this ribosomal RNA (430 nucleotides) under uncultured bacterium. RNAcentral's name for it is "bacterial SSU rRNA". It matches the Rfam family "Bacterial small subunit ribosomal RNA", at positions 355 to 776 of the family's 1533-position model. The record is from RNAcentral.